GGAAAAUUAUACUUUGGGAUGUGAGGCUACCUACAGGUUCAUCAUCAACAGAGAGAUGUGAGGCUACCUACAGGUUCAUCAUUAACAGAGUGAUGUGAGGCUACCUACAGGUUCAUCAUUAACAGAGUGAUGUGAGGCUACCUACAGGUUCAUCAUUAACAGAGAGAUGUGAGGCUACCUACAGGUUCAUCAUUAACAGAGAGAUGUGAGGCUACCUACAGGUUCAUCAUUAACAGAGUGAUGUGAGGCUACCUACAGGUUCAUCAUUAACAGAGUGAUGUGAGGCUACCUACAGGUUCAUCAUUAACAGAGAGAUGUGAGGCUACCUACAGGUUCAUCAUUAACAGAGAGAUGUGAGGCUACCUACAGGUUCAUCAUUAACAGAGAGAUGUGAGGCUACCUACAGGUUCAUCAUUAACAGAGAGAUGUGAGGCUACCUACAGGUUCAUCAUUAACAGAGAGAUGUGAGGCUACCUACAGGUUCAUCAUUAACAGAGAGAUGUGAGGCUACCUACAGGU
Molecule: long non-coding RNA, 519 nt
Organism: Oncorhynchus keta (chum salmon)
Lineage: Eukaryota; Metazoa; Chordata; Actinopteri; Salmoniformes; Salmonidae
Exons: 5
Source: RefSeq, a predicted model, not a curated record